RNAcentral lists this ribosomal RNA (1134 nucleotides) under Triticum aestivum (bread wheat). RNAcentral describes it as "partial small subunit ribosomal RNA". The record is from RNAcentral. Lineage: Eukaryota; Viridiplantae; Streptophyta; Magnoliopsida; Poales; Poaceae.
AUGGCCGCCAUGGUCGCCGCCGCCGCCCCCGCGCGGCUCGUCCCUCCGCGCCUCUCCGCCCCGUGGCUGCACGUGGUUCAGCUUCGUCCGGCGCCGGGGCGGCUCCUCACGGUGGUCGCGGCGUCGCGUCGGAGCCCCGGCGACGGCGGGAAGAGGGGCAGGAAGAAGCGGGGGAGGCGCGCCACGGAGGCCGACCAGGAGGACGGCCUCUCCGUCGGCUCCGAGGUGGAGAAGAAGAGUUCCACGCCGCGUGCAACGGUCGACGAUGGAAGCGUGAAGCCUGCGCUGGAAGCCAGCGUGACCCCGAAAGACUCGGCCAUCAGAAGAGUUGCACUGGUGGUCAUCGCUGCAGUCUUAUUCGGCGUUAGCAUCGCCUUGAAGGAUGGGGUUGAGAAGGCAUCGGAAUAUUUUGCAGGCUAUUUGUUGGAACAGAGUUUGUCGGUGGACAAUCUCUUUGUUUUCAUUCUGGUCUUCAAGUAUUUUAAAGUGCCACUGGAGUACCAGAAUCGGGUGCUUUCUUAUGGUAUUGCCGGAGCAGUGAUCUUCCGUGCAGUGUUGAUCAUCCUAGGAGUAGCUACCAUUCAGAGUUUUGAAGCGGUGAAUUUAUUUUUUGCUGCGAUCCUGCUAUUCUCUUCCUACAAGCUAUUUGCUGGAGACGAGGAAGAAUCUGAUCUGUCUGAUAACUUCAUUGUGAAAACAUGCCAAAAAUUCAUUCCUGUCACUGAUUACUAUGACGGUGAUCGGUUUUUGAUAAAUCAAGAUGGUAUAUGGAAAGCCACCCCAUUACUCUUGACUCUGGUAGUGAUUGAGCUAAGUGAUAUUGCUUUUGCUGUCGACUCAAUACCAGCAAUCUUUGGUGUGACAAGAGACCCACUUAUAAUAUUGUCAUCAAAUAUUUUUGCUAUUUCUGGCCUGAGGUCACUCUACGUACUCAUUUCUGAGAGCAUGUCUGAGUUGGAGUAUCUGCAGCCUGCUGUUGGUAUCGUUUUGGGCUUCAUAGGGGCAAAGAUGAUCUUUGACUUUUGUGGUUAUCAUAUACCAACUGAAGCUUCCCUUGCUGUUGUUACCACAUGUCUUAGCGGUGGAGUAAUAUUGAGUCUUAGGAAAGCAUCAAGUGAGGAACGUGACAAGUAG